GAUGAACGCUGGCGGGAGGCCUAACACAUGCAAGCCGAGCGGUAUUUGUUCUUCGGUGCCGCGAGAGCGGCGCACGCGUGCGGAACACUAGUGCAACCUGCCUUUAUCUGUGGGAUAGCCUUUCCAAAGGAAGAUUAAUACUCCUUAAUCAUUUGAGUUUCAUCCACAGAUAUUGAAAACUCCAGUGGCUAUUGAUGGGCACGCGCAAGAUUAGAUAGUUGGUGAGGUAACGGCUCACCAAGUCAAUGAUCUUUAGGGGGCCUGAGAGGGUGAUCCCCCAGACUGGGACUGGGACACAGACCAGACUGCUACGGGAGGCAGCGGUGAGGAAGAUAGGGCAAUGAGUUAGCGCCUGAUACAGCCAGCCCGCGUGAAGGACUACGGCCCUAUGGGUCGUAAACUUUUGUUGAAGAGGGAGAAACCUACUCACGGGAGAGUAGCUGAAGGUACUAAACGAAAAAGCACCGGCUAACUCCGUG
Molecule: ribosomal RNA, 479 nt
Filed under: uncultured bacterium
Lineage: Bacteria
Description: partial 16S ribosomal RNA
Rfam family: Bacterial small subunit ribosomal RNA
Source: RNAcentral